Molecule: transfer RNA, 41 nt
Filed under: Sibbaldianthe adpressa
Lineage: Eukaryota; Viridiplantae; Streptophyta; Magnoliopsida; Rosales; Rosaceae
Description: partial tRNA-Leu
Source: RNAcentral
AAAAUCCGUCGACUUUAGAAAUCGAAGUCCCUCUAUCCCCA